RNAcentral lists this transfer RNA (77 nucleotides) under Gemmatimonadota bacterium. RNAcentral's name for it is "Gemmatimonadetes bacterium tRNA-Pro". It matches the Rfam family "tRNA". From Rfam's summary of the family: Transfer RNA (tRNA) molecules are approximately 80 nucleotides in length. Lineage: Bacteria; Pseudomonadati; Gemmatimonadota. The record is from RNAcentral. RNAcentral also lists the same sequence under 1 other name.
CGGAGCGUGGCGCAGCCCGGUAGCGCACUAUCUUGGGGUGAUAGGGGUCGCUGGUUCAAAUCCAGUCGCUCCGACCA